UUACAUUGCUAUUUGUAUUCCAUUCCCUACAAUUGGUAUGUCACCUAUUUGAGAUACAGUUUCCAAAACAACAUGUUCCUAUUAAUUUUGCAAUUUAUAUUAUUUCUUGUGUGCUUUUAUCUGUGGUUUUGUUGCUAUCUUGGUCACUAGUAUGUUACUUACUAGUCUACUAGUUUAACUUAGCAUGUUUUCCCCUAUUCCCCUUCCUCUUGUCUCAAUGCAUGUUCCUCUUCUAUGUGCACUAUUUCUUGGCUACUUGUUUAACCUAAAAUCUCUGUUUGAAGCGAAGUGUAUUAGAAUUUGAUGCAGUAAGAAAUUGAACCCUUCGCUUACAAUCAUGUCUGAUUAUUUUCUCCAACAUGUUGCAUGCAUGUCUGUAGUUCACUUUACUUAUGUAUCCCCUUUCCCUUUCCCCUGUUUGUGUGAUGCCCUGUUGUUCUAAAACUGGUCAGUCUAAAAUGAUUUUUUAAAGAACCUUUUCAACUCUUUCAACUGUUUCUUCAAACUUCCUCAACUUCUCAAUUUUUCCAACUUUUCUUCUUAAAUUGUCUCUCAACUAUUUUCAACUCUCUCAAUUGCAACCUCAUUCUUAGAGCUUUAGGGUCUGCCCUUAGUGUAUGCACUGCCAUGUGAGACUUGAGCACCCAUGGAACUCUGAUGCACAAGGCUG
RNAcentral lists this long non-coding RNA (670 nucleotides) under Nicotiana benthamiana. RNAcentral's name for it is "long non-coding RNA (NBEN_LNC031269)". The record is from RNAcentral. Lineage: Eukaryota; Viridiplantae; Streptophyta; Magnoliopsida; Solanales; Solanaceae.